Schizosaccharomyces pombe (fission yeast) is the source of this 266-nucleotide non-coding RNA. The record is from the annotation of a GenBank genome assembly. Lineage: Eukaryota; Fungi; Ascomycota; Schizosaccharomycetes; Schizosaccharomycetales; Schizosaccharomycetaceae.
UUAAAACGUUGUCACCUGUAAUAACACCAGUAGGUACAAUAUCGAGAAUUCCCAUUUUGCUAAUUUGUGUGUGUGUUCUAUACGACCUUUGGAAGUAUGAUACUGCAACAGUAGCGCGCAACCCUCUAUUAUAUACCAUGGAGCCGGAGUUGGCCUCGGAAAAACUUCUCACCUGAUGUGCAUAUCGAUACCUAUCCGGUCCGUGGUUACCACCAAUCACCGUCCCCUGUUUUAGGGGUUGACGUCAAAAGAAGUUUUUGAUUUCU